UACGAACGCUGGCGGCGUGCUUAACACAUGCAAGUCGAACGGAAAGGCCCUGCUUUUGUGGGGUGCUCGAGUGGCGAACGGGUGAGUAACACGUGAGUAACCUGCCCUUGACUUUGGGAUAACUUCAGGAAACUGGGGCUAAUACCGGAUAGAAGCUCCUGCUGCAUGGUGGGGGUUGGAAAGUUUCGGCGGUUGGGGAUGGACUCGCGGCUUAUCAGCUUGUUGGUGGGGUAGUGGCUUACCAAGGCUUUGACGGGUAGCCGGCCUGAGAGGGUGACCGGCCACAUUGGGACUGAGAUACGGCCCAGACUCCUACGGGAGGCAGCAGUGGGGAAUAUUGCACAAUGGGCGGAAGCCUGAUGCAGCAACGCCGCGUGCGGGAUGACGGCCUUCGGGUUGUAAACCGCUUUCGCCUGUGACGAAGCGUGAGUGACGGUAAUGGGUAAAGAAGCACCGGCUAACUACGUG
RNAcentral lists this ribosomal RNA (468 nucleotides) under uncultured bacterium. Its description in RNAcentral is "partial 16S ribosomal RNA". It matches the Rfam family "Bacterial small subunit ribosomal RNA", at positions 29 to 507 of the family's 1533-position model. The record is from RNAcentral.